RNAcentral lists this transfer RNA (85 nucleotides) under Lichenibacterium ramalinae. Its description in RNAcentral is "bacterium RmlP001 tRNA-Leu". It matches the Rfam family "tRNA". From Rfam's summary of the family: Transfer RNA (tRNA) molecules are approximately 80 nucleotides in length. Their secondary structure includes four short double-helical elements and three loops (D, anti-codon, and T loops). Lineage: Bacteria; Pseudomonadati; Pseudomonadota; Alphaproteobacteria; Hyphomicrobiales; Lichenihabitantaceae. The record is from RNAcentral.
GCGCGCUUGGCGAAAUUGGUAGCCGCAGGGGACUUAAAAUCCCCCGCCUCCGGGCUUGGGGGUUCGAGUCCCCCAGCGCGCACCA